Long non-coding RNA from Cornus florida, 1437 nucleotides. RefSeq lists it as uncharacterized. NCBI's taxonomy places the organism in Eukaryota, Viridiplantae, Streptophyta, Magnoliopsida, Cornales, Cornaceae. The record is from RefSeq and is a predicted model, not a curated record. The transcript is spliced from 2 exons.
AGUGUUGCAGUUUUGUUAUGCCAUGCUUUAAUUUUUUUAAUUUGGUUCUGAUUUAGAUACUAUUUUUUCGUUUAUUGGUUUUCUAUUUUUUUGUGUCCUUGUUUCAGUCAAAAGCUUUGGAAUCUAUUGCUAGUUAUGAGAUUGAUGUUGAUAAAAAGCUUCACAAAUCCAAACUUUUUAUUUGAACUAAAUUUUGGAGUGCCUGUGUGUGUGAAUGAUAUGAUUCACUUGAUACUUUUUACUUCAGAAGAAAGAUGAUAAAUUAAUGCCAUUUAUAGUUUCGAAUUGCCACCACCACAACUUUAAGAUGUAGUGAUGAGCUGAGAUGAAUUAAGAUGUCUUAUUCAGUAAUGCACAUGAAGUAAUCCCUCAACAAAGACUAUAAAUUCUUUAAAAUGAAUAUCCAUUAUGGGGUGUCAUUCCAGUAACCGUUUGUUCUGAUUCAGGGACAACUUUUACUACGUCUGUGAGAAAUUUGUAGAAACAUGGUUUUUGUUUGUCCUUAAAAUUCAGUAGGUCAUUUGAUGUUAUCUAAAAAGCAAUUUAAGGAUAUUUAUUUCACCCCUGCAAGUCUUUCCAUGAAGUGAAAUCAGAAAAGUAGAAAUAAUUUUUUGUACCAACAGGUAAUACUCAAUCUCUUGCAAAAAAAAAGGUAUUUUAUUUGUUCCUCAGAUCACUUCAACUAUAUAUUUUCUUAAAUUGCAUAGAGUGUCCUUAUUAACUGCUUCAUAGUUAGAAAACUUAAUACAUGAAAUAAAUUUCAUGAUGAGUACUCCGAGCAUGACUAUCUUUUAAUAUCAAUUGCCAGAUUCUUGAAUAUAAUUAUGUGUAAGGGAAAAUUCUGUCCUGAAAUGAUCUGGAAAUGAAAUUUUUACUUUUAGUAUAAGUCUUAUCUUCUGAAAAUACCAGGCAAUGCUUUAGCAUACGAUUCGUACAGGACCAGUAAGAUAUGCCUAACCCAAAGCAUCUGAUUCAGCAUUUUGCAGCACCAGUCCAGUUCAGUUAUUCCAUUUCCUUGAAAUGAUUUCAAGAUCCAUGCUUUGAUUUUGAAUUCUUAAGUAUAAAUAAACGUGUUUCGAUGGAGCUGAUAGUACGUUGUGAACAAGAAGGUAGAUAAGUAAGGUGUUAGUCCUUUUUGUGCGAAAAUGGCAUCACAAAAAGUUGAGAAACCUACUGGGCAGGUCAAGAAAGAGCCUGUUAAAGCUCCAGUCUCCAAACAGGCCCCUAAGAAGUCCGGGCAGAAGCCCCGGGAGCCUAAGAAGAAGGCAUCAGGUAGCUGUACACCAGGAAGCUGCACAAAGUCCGUGUAAUUUUUACUGAAGUUAUGUCAGCACUGGCUUGUGAAUGAUAUCUAUGUAUCUCUUCCUAGGCUUGGCCUAAAUGAAAUUAUAAUAAAAGAUACAUAUCUUUAAAAGAUAGUUGUGUCAAUUUCUCUUA